RNAcentral lists this ribosomal RNA (253 nucleotides) under uncultured bacterium. RNAcentral's name for it is "partial 16S ribosomal RNA". It matches the Rfam family "Bacterial small subunit ribosomal RNA", at positions 524 to 776 of the family's 1533-position model. The record is from RNAcentral.
CACGUAGGGCGCGAGCGUUGUCCGGAAUUAUUGGGCGUAAAGAGCUCGUAGGCGGCCUGUUGCGUCCGCUGUGAAAGCCCGGGGCUUAACCCCGGGUCGGCAGUGGAUACGGGCAGGCUAGAGGUAGGUAGGGGAGAAUGGAAUUCCCGGUGUAGCGGUGAAAUGCGCAGAUAUCGGGAGGAACACCGGUGGCGAAGGCGGCCUGCUGGGCAGUAGCUGACACUGAGGCGCGACAGCGUGGGGAGCAAACAGG